GUACACAAAAAUGCACAUAUUGUGAGCUCGAUGAGUAGGGCGGGACACGUGGUAUCCUGUCUGAAUAUGGGGGGACCAUCCUCCAAGGCUAAAUACUCCUGACUGACCGAUAGUGAACCAGUACCGUGAGGGAAAGGCGAAAAGAACCCCGGCGAGGGGAGUGAAAAAGAACCUGAAACCGUGUACGUACAAGCAGUGGGAGCCUCUUAAUGGGGUGACUGCGUACCUUUUGUAUAAUGGGUCAGCGACUUAUAUUCUGUAGCAAGGUUAACCGAAUAGGGGAGCCGAAGGGAAACCGAGUCUUAACUGGGCGUUAAGUUGCAGGGUAUAGACCCGAAACCCGGUGAUCUAGCCAUGGGCAGGUUGAAGGUUGGGUAACACUAACUGGAGGACCGAACCGACUAAUGUUGAAAAAUUAGCGGAUGACUUGUGGCUGGGGGUGAAAGGCCAAUCAAACCGGGAGAUAGCUGGUUCUCCCCGAAAGCUAUUUAGGUAGCGCCUCGUGAAUUCAUCUCCGGGGGUAGAGCACUGUUUCGGCAAGGGGGUCAUCCCGACUUACCAACCCGAUGCAAACUGCGAAUACCGGAGAAUGUUAUCACGGGAGACACACGGCGGGUGCUAACGUCCGUCGUGAAGAGGGAAACAACCCAGACCGCCAGCUAAGGUCCCAAAGUCAUGGUUAAGUGGGAAACGAUGUGGGAAGGCCCAGACAGCCAGGAUGUUGGCUUAGAAGCAGCCAUCAUUUAAAGAAAGCGUAAUAGCUCACUGGUCGAGUCGGCCUGCGCGGAAGAUGUAACGGGGCUAAACCAUGCACCGAAGCUGCGGCAGCGACGCUUAUGCGUUGUUGGGUAGGGGAGCGUUCUGUAAGCCUGUGAAGGUGUGCUGUGAGGCAUGCUGGAGGUAUCAGAAGUGCGAAUGCUGACAUAAGUAACGAUAAAGCGGGUGAAAAGCCCGCUCGCCGGAAGACCAAGGGUUCCUGUCCAACGUUAAUCGGGGCAGGGUGAGUCGACCCCUAAGGCGAGGCCGAAAGGCGUAGUCGAUGGGAAACAGGUUAAUAUUCCUGUACUUGGUGUUACUGCGAAGGGGGGACGGAGAAGGCUAUGUUGGCCGGGCGACGGUUGUCCCGGUUUAAGCGUGUAGGCUGGUUUUCCAGGCAAAUCCGGAAAACCAAGGCUGAGGCGUGAUGA
This 1187-nucleotide ribosomal RNA is filed under the name Escherichia coli. RNAcentral's name for it is "partial 23S ribosomal RNA". It matches the Rfam family "Bacterial large subunit ribosomal RNA", at positions 375 to 1569 of the family's 2925-position model. Lineage: Bacteria; Pseudomonadati; Pseudomonadota; Gammaproteobacteria; Enterobacterales; Enterobacteriaceae. The record is from RNAcentral.